This 2367-nucleotide ribosomal RNA is filed under the name human gut metagenome. RNAcentral's name for it is "bacterial LSU rRNA". The stretch from base 1 to 2010 matches the Rfam family "Bacterial large subunit ribosomal RNA", at positions 465 to 2925 of the family's 2925-position model. The record is from RNAcentral.
GCUAAAUACUACUUGGUGACCGAUAGCGUAUAGUACCGUGAGGGAAAGGUGAAAAGAACCCCGGGAGGGGAGUGAAAGAGAACCUGAAACCCUAUGUUUACAAGCAGACAAAGCACGUUAAGGUGCGAUGUCGUACUUUUUGUAGAACGGUCCGGCGAGUUAUUUUAUAUGGCAAGGUUAAGUACUAAAGGUACGGAGCCGAAGAGAAAUCGAGUCUGAAGAGGGCGAAUAAGUCAUAUGAAAUAGACCCGAAACCGAGUGACCUAUCCAUGUCCAGGCUGAAGCUUGAGUAAAAUCAAGUGGAGGGCCGAACUCAUAGACGUUAAAAAGUCUCGGGAUGAGGUGUGGAUAGCGGAGAAAUUCCAAUCGAACUCGGAGAUAGCUGGUUCUCCUCGAAAUAGUUUUAGGACUAGCCUUGUUUUAAUAGCACGUGGGGGUAGAGCACUGAAUGAGGUAGGGGCCAACAAGGUUACUGAACUCUAUCAAACUACGAAUACCAUGUGUGGAAGAACAGGAGUCAGACUGCGGGAGCUAAGUUCCGUGGUCAAAAGGGAAAGAGCCCAGAUCGUCAAUUAAGGUCCCAAAGAUAUAGUUAAGUGGAAAACGAUGUGAUUUUGCGUAAACAACCAGGAUGUUGGCUUAGAAGCAGCCAUUCAUUCAAAGAGUGCGUAAUAGCUCACUGGUCGAGUGAAGUUGCGCGGAAAAUUACCGGGGCUAAACUAUACACCGAAAUUGCGGAUUUGCAUAGAAAUAUGUAAGUGGUAGAGGAGCAUUCUAUAGUAGGACGAAGCAUAAUCGAAAGGAUAUGUGGACGAGAUAGAAGAGAGAAUGCCGGAAUAAGUAGCGAAAGCAUGGUGAGAAUCCAUGCCAUCGAAAGUCUAAGGUUUCCUGGGGAAGGUUCGUCCGCCCAGGGUAAGUCGGGACCUAAGGAGAGGCCGAAAAGCGUAUCCGAUGGACAGCAGGUAGAAAUUCCUGCACUACGUAAUACUUAAAAGACAUAAAUGACACAGGAGUGGAAGAUAAGCGAGGAAGAGGAAAAACUCGUAUCGAAAGAUAUAGUGAAAUUAAAGUAACGAAUUAUCAAGAAGCUAAUGGCGAGAAAAGUUUAUGGAUAUUGUAUUAAGUACCCGUACCGCAAACCGACACAGGUAGAUGAGGAGAAGAUCCUAAGAUGAGCGAGAGAAGCAUUGUUAAGGAACUCGGCAAACUGACCCCGUAACUUCGGAAUAAGGGGUGCUGGAGUAGAAUCCAGUCGCAGAGAAUAGUCCCAAGCAACUGUUUAACAAAAACACAGGUUUCUGCUAAAUCGAAAGAUGAAGUAUAGGAGCUGACACCUGCCCAGUGCUGGAAGGUUAAGGGAAAGAGUUAGGAGUAAUCCGAAGCUUAGAACUAAAGCCCCAGUGAACGGCGGCCGUAACUAUAACGGUCCUAAGGUAGCGAAAUUCCUUGUCAGGUAAGUUCUGACCCGCACGAAAGGUGUAAUGAUUUGGGAGCUGUCUCGACAAUGUACUCGGCGAAAUUGUAGUACUAGUGAAGAUGCUAGUUACCUGCGACAAGACAGAAAGACCCCAUGGAGCUUUACUGCAGCUUGAUACUGGGUUUCGGUAAUUUAUGUACAGGAUAGGUGGGAUGCUAAGAAGUAUGUGCGCCAGCGCAUAUGGAGCAGACGUUGGGAUACCACCCUUAAAUUACUGGAAUUCUAACUAUAAGUCCUAAGCGGGCUUGAGGACAAUGUCAGGCGGGCAGUUUGACUGGGGCGGUCGCCUCCUAAAGAGUAACGGAGGCGCGCAAAGGUUUCCUCAGCGCGGACAGAAAUCGCGCGAAAGAGUGCAAAGGCAGAAGGAAGCUUAACUGAGAGACAGACAUGUCGACCAGAUACGAAAGUAGGUCUUAGUGAUCCGGUGUUGUGGCCGUAGAGAGUGCCAUCGCUUCUUCGCAGGACGGUGUUCACACAGCCCAUUUUCUUUGCCGUGGGGGACAGCUCGGAAAGGUAGGGAAUGACCUCUUUUUUAUAGGGAAUGGUUACAUUGAGUCCACAGAGAUUGGGGUUUUCUUCAAUCACUUCCAUGAAGUCUUCGAUGCGGGGAAUCUCGAAGUUCACAUAUUCGGCGUCAAUGUUCUCUGCUUUAAAUUUCUCGUUGAAGUAGCCGAUUGAAAACGAAUGUCGCAAGGGGUAGCCGAUUAAACCGUAUUUUUCCAUGACACGAAAGGAUUAAAUUAAUUAUUCAUCAUUCUUCAUUAUUUACAUAUCGCGCACCCCUGACACUUGUUCAGUUCACCGCGGAAACGUUUCUCUACCAGUUUAUGCAAACGGUCUUUCAACGCCUCCAAGCGUACAUGGUCGAUCACGUCGGAAGUGAAAGCCAC